AAAGCCAGCAUUUGAGGGUGUUUGAGCUCAUUUUCAGGUUGCAGUUCUUCACUUCAUCGAAGUCCAGGUUCCAUGGUGGAUACAAAAACCUCAUCUGAAAAAGGGCAACACCUUCCAGGCUGUGCUGACCACUGACUCCAAGAUGUGCUACAUCAUCCUCAACUACGGGGACAUCCAGUGGACUACAAGAGGCAGCAAGUGAUUGAGACGCUGAAACAGGACUUGGGGGUACCCCAGCACAUGCAGGAUUCAAUAGUGGUGGUGACACCAAUUUCUAAACAUUCCUGGAUCCCAAACCAUCAUCAACAUCACCACCACCUCCAAUGUCAAGGUCCCAGGAUGCUGGGUCUUUCGGGUAGAUGACUUCCAGGUGACAGGUGUGGAUCCUCCCCAGCUGAACAACAACUGCUGGCUGUGAAUCGAAGAGAGUGGGGCAGAGGGACAUCACCAGUGCCACUGUUAUCACUGAUGAAGUCAAUGUGCAGAUCAACAUC
This is a long non-coding RNA of Vidua macroura (Pin-tailed whydah), 494 nucleotides long. RefSeq lists it as uncharacterized. The transcript is spliced from 5 exons. The record is from RefSeq and is a predicted model, not a curated record. NCBI's taxonomy places the organism in Eukaryota, Metazoa, Chordata, Aves, Passeriformes, Viduidae.